This is a non-coding RNA of Triticum aestivum (bread wheat), 126 nucleotides long. NCBI's taxonomy places the organism in Eukaryota, Viridiplantae, Streptophyta, Magnoliopsida, Poales, Poaceae. The record is from Rfam.
UAAUUACUUCCUUCGUCCGAAAAAACUUGUCUUUUAAAUGGAUGUAUCUAGCACUAACUUGGUACGAGAUACAUCCAUUUGAAAGACAAACUUAGGACAAGUUUUUUUGGACAGAGGGAGUAUAAA